This 1392-nucleotide ribosomal RNA is filed under the name human metagenome. RNAcentral's name for it is "bacterial LSU rRNA". It matches the Rfam family "Bacterial large subunit ribosomal RNA", at positions 566 to 1977 of the family's 2925-position model. The record is from RNAcentral.
ACAAGCUGCGGAAGCACGACUAACGUGCAACCGUGUACUUUUUGUAGAACGGUCCGGCGAGUUGCCGUUGCUGGCAGGUUAAGUACUUAAGGUACGGAGCCGAAGGGAAACCAAGUCUUAACAGGGCGAUAAGUCAGUAACGGCAGACCCGAAACCGGGUGACCUACCCAUGGCCAGGAUGAAGUCUGCGUAAAAGUGGAUGGAGGUCCGAACACACGUCUGUUGAAAAAGGCGGUGAUGAGCUGUGGGUAGCGGAGAAAUUCCAAUCGAACUCGGAGAUAGCUGGUUCUCCCCGAAAUAGCUUUAGGGCUAGCCUCGGUAUAGUCUAAUGGAGGUAGAGCACUGAAUCGCUGCGGGGGCGUCAAAGUCUACCAAAGCGUAUCAAACUCCGAAUGCCAUAUAGAUGUUUACCGGGAGUCAGACUGUAUGAGAUAAGUCGGACAGUCAAAAGGGAAACAGCCCAGACCAUCUGCUAAGGUCCCAAAGUGUAUGUUAAGUGGUAAAGGAUGUGGGGUUUCGAAGACAACUAGGAUGUUGGCUCAGAAGCAGCCAUUCAUUCAAAGAGUGCGUAAUAGCUCACUAGUCGAGAGGUCCUGCGCCGAAAAUGUCCGGGGCUGAAACAUAACACCGAAGCAAUGGAACAUACCGUAAGGUAUGUUGGUAGGGGAGCAUUGAUAACACGAAGAAGCGGUACCGUAAGGAGCCGUGGAGAGUUAUCAAGAGAGAAUGCCGGAAUGAGUAGCGAGAUGAAGGUGAGAAUCCUUCAGGCCGUAUAUCCAAGGUUUCCAGGGUAAAGCUGAUCUUCCCUGGGGAAGUCGGGACCUAAGCUCAGGCUGAGAAGCGUAGGCGAUGGACAACUGGUUGAUAUUCCAGUACCUCUGGCUAUCAGAAAUGUGGGGACACGGAGAUUCAGGAAGUGCCUGUAAAGGAUUCAGGUGCAAGCAUGGUUUAUGCCGGGCAGGCAAAUCCGUCCGGGGAAUUGAACUGUGUGAUGCGGACCGAAAUAUAAGUAGGGAAGCUUCUGGGAGAGCCGUCGAGAAAAGCCGCUAUUGUGUAGUCAGAGCCCGUACCGUAAACCGACACAGGUGGAUGGGGAGAGUAUCCCAAGGCCGGCGGGAGAAGCAUUGUUAAGGAACUCGGCAAAAUGGCCCCGUAAGUUCGCGAUAAGGGGUGCCUGUAGAGAUACAGGCCGCAGAGAAUAGGCUCAAGCAACUGUUUAGCAAAAACACAGGUCUAUGCGAAACCGUAAGGUGAUGUAUAUGGGCUGACGCCUGCCCGGUGCUGGAAGGUUACGGGGAGUGCUUAGGAGUAAUCCGAAGGUACGAACUUAAGCCCCAGUAAACGGCGGCCGUAACUAUAACGGUCCUAAGGUAGCGAAAUUCCUUGUCGGGU